Molecule: unclassified non-coding RNA, 334 nt
Filed under: soil metagenome
Description: partial contains 5.8S ribosomal RNA, internal transcribed spacer 2, and large subunit ribosomal RNA
Rfam family: 5.8S ribosomal RNA (bases 1-120)
Source: RNAcentral
GAUGAAGAACGCAGCGAAAUGCGAUAAGUAAUGUGAAUUGCAGAAUUCAGUGAAUCAUCGAAUCAUUGAACGCACAUUGCGCCCGCCAGUAUUCUGGCGAGCAUGCCUGUUCGAGCGUCAUUUCAACCAUCAAGCCCCAGGCUUGUGUUGGAGCCCUGCGGCUGCCGCAGCCUCCCAAAACCAGUGGCGGGCUCGCUAUCACACCGAGUGCAGUAGUUUACUCUUCGCUCAGGGCGUGUGGCGGGUGCUAGCCGUGAAACCCCCAACUUCUCAAGGUUGACCUCGGAUCAGGUAGGAAUACCCGCUGAACUUAAGCAUAUCAAUAAGCAGAGGA